Molecule: long non-coding RNA, 1995 nt
Organism: Anguilla rostrata (American eel)
Lineage: Eukaryota; Metazoa; Chordata; Actinopteri; Anguilliformes; Anguillidae
Exons: 2
Source: RefSeq, a predicted model, not a curated record
GCUAGCCUGCUUGCUGGCUGUGUUGGAAACGGCAUAGAUAACCGUAAGCGUUAGCUAACUAGACUAGCUAGUACGCAACAUCGGCGUUCUGUCUAGCUUGAUAAUAAAUUACCGUUAUACCAGACGUAUUUUCAGAACCGUAUAUAUUUGGAAAUGGUGAAUAUACCAAUACUAAGCUACGUAUGACGCUGUAGUAUAUACGGUUAGCUAGCCGUCGGCGAUUCGGCUAAUACCGAAUUCACUUACCAUUGUCGGCUCCGUUGACAACUCGAGGCCGCUGCUUCAGGGGGAAAGCGACUGGGAGACGAGGGAAAGAGAAAUAGACGACAGGGAAUUAGAACAUAUGUAUGGCCUUAAUAACUUAUAGCACGGGUAUCUCUGUAUACAAACGUAUUUGCACUAUUAUACUAUUUGUUAAGCGAGAUUACUGGUUAGCUAUCUAGCUAACAAGUCGGAGAAAAUAAAUGCGAGCUUGCCAAUAAAACAAGCCAUUUAGCUGCUAACUGCUAGCGAAUUAUUUCAACCUGCCACUAGCAUGCUAGCUUAGCUGAGAAUAAGGUAACGUAGACUAACGUUAAAACAAUAGUAGCAAGCAAGUGUUUUGCUCACCCUCCUUUUCUGAACGCCUCAAGCAAGAAGAGCCACAUAUGUGUUCAAGACUGAGGGAGAAAUGGCAGAUGGCCAUUUUCUAAAUUCAUCAUCUGUCUCCAGAGACCGGGGGAUGGACGAGCCCGUCCUGGAGCAUAAUCCCCACAGGCCAGGGCCUCAGCAGCAUCCCACAUGCAUAUUCUAUUACAUGUACAGCUCUGCUGUCUACACAAAGCCAAAUUCAGUUUUUGAAAGAAUGAGACUGCCUUUGUUAAUGAAUUUAGGGUGGAAGACUUAAUCAGUGUGUGUGUGUGUGUGUGUAUGUGCGCAUGCGCCAUUUGACUUCACUGACAGCCUAUGCUUACUGCGUGACUUGAUGUUCAUGGCUGUGGACAGCUGAUACUUAAUGAGAAUUUUACCUUAUCUGAUCUGUGUUCUGUAGUUGUUUCAACGACCUUCACUGUGCAAUUAUUGUACGUCACUUUGGAUAAAAGCGUCUGCAAAAUAAAGUGUAAUGUGCAGUAAUGUAAUUUAAUGUGUGUGUGUGUCUGUGUACCCUUUAGCAGUGUGACUCAUUCAGUGUGCAUAUGGUGUUGUGACUCUCAUUGCUGUGUGAAUUGGUGGUGAACCUCUGUCAGUGUGGCGUGAUUCGGUUGGUGUGGAUGCGUGUGUUUGUGCCUUACAGUGCGGUGUGAUUCAGUCGGGAAUCUCUCAGUGUUGCGCGAAUCCUUCACUGUUUGUGCUGCGGCAACUGGGUGCUCCGUGACUACACAGCAUAUGCUGCCGGGACUCCAUCUGUCAGGUGAUUGACAUGUUUCAGGAUAAAACUAUCACAGUGCAAUGAUGUGCACUGCACAGAUAAAGAAACAUCAGAGUCAGGUGAUUGCAGCCUAUUAUUCAAUAACUGCCAGAUAUCAGUCAAUUAACCAGUCAGAAUUUUAUUAAUAUUUAGCAUUUCAUUUGGCAGCUUUGAGUUUGCAUCACUGAAAAUGAGUGCCAUUGUAACAUUAUAUUACAUUUAAUUGGCAGAUGCUUUUAUCCAAAGUGACGUACAAUAAGUGCAUAUCGAAGGUCAUUGGAACAACUACAAAACAGAUCUGAUAAGGUACAAUACUCAUUAUGUAACAGUUAUCCAUAGCCAUGAACAUCAAGUCCAGUUCACACAGUAAAUAGCCUUGGAGAGAAAGUUAUGAAAAAGGCAAAACAGAAUAGAAACAUUUUAAUUCUACAAUAUAAAGGUAGUGUGAAUGAUAAAAGCGUGGGCUCAAGUGUCACCAAGUGAGGACAAGUUUCAGUGCACUACACUUGGCUGUUAGCACUGGUAUGAUGUCAACCCAGUCCUCUGUUGAGAAAUGACGUUAUGUUGCAAAAGCUUACAGUUUGUACAAAAUAAACAAUAUCAAUUUG